Molecule: long non-coding RNA, 5943 nt
Organism: Oncorhynchus keta (chum salmon)
Lineage: Eukaryota; Metazoa; Chordata; Actinopteri; Salmoniformes; Salmonidae
Exons: 2
Source: RefSeq, a predicted model, not a curated record
CAGACAAUUAUAAUGAUUUAAUUAUUGGCGGGGAAACUCAAUCAUUUCAAUAGCGGGACACUUAGGUUCUUAUCUCAGCUUUGAAACCGAUAGACAAAAAUUGAUUUUAGAUUGUAAUUCAUCUAUUUGUAUGUUUUGCCUGAAAAAAUAUGGUCGCUAGUGUUUGUAUAAAAUAUGAACUGAACAUUUAAUAUGUUGUUUAGGUUGACUUGAAAGAAGAAUUAAUUCAAAAUAAUGGCGAGACAACUUCGAUGUUAUACGCUGUUUUGCCCAAAAUUAUCUGCUAGAAUAAUGUAUUCAAAUCAAAUCAAAUCAAAUCAAAUUUAUUUAUAUAGCCCUUCGUACAUCAGCUGAUAUCUCAAAGUGCUGUACAGAAACCCAGCCUAAAACCCCAAACAGCAAACAAUGCAGGUGUAAAAGCACGGUGGCUAGGAAAAACUCCCUAGAAAGGCCAAAACCUAGGAAGAAACCUAGAGAGGAACCGGGCUAUGUGGGGUGGCCAGUCCUCUUCUGGCUGUGCCGGGUAGAGAUUAUAACAGAACAUGACAAAGAUGUUCAAAUGUUCAUAAAUGACCAGCAUGGUCAAAUAAUAAUAAGGCAGAACAGUUGAAACUGGAGCAGCAGCACAGUCAGGUGGACUGGGGACAGCAAGGAGCCAUCAUGUCAGGUAGUCCUGGGGCACGGUCCUAGGGCUCAGGUCCUCCGAGAGAGAGAAAGAAAGAGAGAAGGAGAGAAUUAGAGAACGCACACUUAGAUUCACACAGGACACCGAAUAGGACAGGAGAAGUACUCCAGAUAAACAAACUGACCCUAGCCCCCCGACACAUAAACUACUGCAGCAUAAAUACUGGAGUCUGAGACAGGAGGGGUCAGGAGUAUUGAGAUGGGAGUCGUAUUUAAAUAAAUGUAUCAUAGAAGAGAAAAGUCACCUAAACCUUAAUAAAUGUAGGGAAUAACUGAGAGAUACGAAACAGUUUUGUGCCACCAGGAUGAUAUAUUUUUUUACGAAUCGACUGACAUACGAUAAAUUUAGCACAGAACAUGGUACGUUUAAAUGUUAGGAUAAAGAAAGUUGAGAAGUUUGGUUGGUUUUACUUUGUCGAUAGAAUUUAAAGCAGAACUCAAUCUGAAUAGGGAAUAUGUAUUUUACAGAGGCAGGCUGAUUUGAAGGUAAAACUGUGUAAUUUUACGUUGACUACACACAACGUUCCUCAAAUAAUGACAGAGAAAAUGGGUUGUGGCAUUUAGAGGGAAAAUGCAUGCAUUAUAGCUUGAGUUACUUUUGAUAUUUGUUUUGCACAUUUAUAACAUCCUAAAGCUUGAUUCUGCACUUAGUUUGACCAGUUUAGUCGAUAUAUAAUAUGUCAUUUUGAAGUUUUGAUGCGCAUCCACUAGAAUUUUGGCUGCAUUUCAACCGGAAUUUGUCGCGUUUGAUAACCCAAAGACACAGACUUGAAAACCAAACGCAGUUUUUGGUAAGUAUGACUCCUUCCACGUCUUCUGAUCGAAGAACAUCAAAGGUAAGGGAAUAUUUAUGUGUUAAUUUUGUGUUUCUGUGAACUCCAACAUAGAGGAGACAUAAUGCUAAUUUCUGAGCGCCUUCUCAUAUUAUAGCCUAGUGAACGAAUUCUGUAACGUUAAAAAUAAAUGUAACACAGCGGUUGCAUUAAGAAGAAGUGUAUCUUUCUAUCUAUAUGUAGAACAUGUAUAUUUAGUCAAAGUUUAUGAUGUGUAUUGCUUGUUAUCUGACGUUAUCUGACGGAGCUAUCAUCAUUUGUCCGGACAUUUGAGUAGCAUUUUUUGAACAUGGCGUCAUUGUAAACAGAGAUUUAUGGAUAUAAAUGGCAUAUUAUUGAAAAAAACAUAAAUGUACUGUGUAACAUGUCCUAUUACUGUCAUCUGAUGAAGAUUUUCAAAAGGUUAGUGAAUUAUUUUUAUUUUAAUCCUGCGUUUGUUGAUUGCAUAUUUUGUUCAACUUGGCUAUUCAAAUUAGCUGUGUCUUUGGUGGUGGUUUGACAUAAAUAUGUGCUAUGUUUUUGCCGUAAAACAUUUUAGAAAUCUGACUUGCUGGGUAGAUGAACAAGGUGUUUAUCUUUCAUUUGAGCUAUUGGACUUGUUAAUGUGUGGAGGUUAAAUAUUUCUAAGAAUAUUUUUGCAUUCCAUGCGCCACGUUCCAGCUGAACGUGGGAGGGAUCGUUCCCAAAGCGAACCCACCACGUUAACAGGUUGUAUCAUGUAUGUCGCAUGUUCAUUUAAGUAAACAUAUACAUAGACGUUGUUUAAAACUGAUUAUUAAUGAUUUGAGUCAAAGGGGAAUUAUCAUUAGGUUUAGUUUAUAGUUCACUUUUCAGUUUCUGAAUCGAGGUAGCAUAGUGAAUGCUAGUUAGGCAUUUUGAGUUCUUCUGGGGAAAUUGAUGUUCAGGUGUCUCACUUUUAGAUCUCUUGGGGAGAGUGGGUGCGAUUGAGGCCAUAAACGACCAAAUUGAAAAAGCCCUGGAAGUUUUGUUUAUUCAUUAAUGUUUGCAAAUAUAUAGACAUAAAACAUUUGUUAGGACUAUUUGUUUUAGUGCAAAGGUAUUUUAAAGAGGCACACUCACAUAUGGAACUUUAUGAGUUUUUAUUUUAUGAGUUUUAAUUAACAAGUGAAUGUUUUUUAUUUGAAGGAUAAAGGGUUCUUUAAUAUGUCUAAUGUGGUAUGGAACAUGACUAUAAAAGGGCGGUAUGACCUAUUGACCUUAUCAUGGCUAUCAUUUGGGGUCUGAUCAGCCUCAUGGGAGAGCCAGUUGUAUAAUGAAUGUGUGGUCAUUUGGGUUACUAGUUGACCACACAUUUUAGAGUUUUAGUUUGGGGUUAGAAUUAUUGUUUGAAUCACUGAUGAGAAAGUGUUUCAGGAUUCUGUUUUACAAAUAUUAGCUGUGAAGUUUUUGAAUGGGCUAUUAUUGAUUUGGUAUUACAACAGAAAAUAAUCCUAUUUAUCAUUGAGAAUAAAUAGGGGGAGAUAAAACAUGGUCCUUUGAGGUUUGGACAGGACACCUUAUUAAGCCAAUAGGGCAGGAAAUUACAUAGAAAAAUACGUUUUAGUUCUUAGGGGUGAUAAAUUACUGUAGAUAAGGUAUUCCACACUAUGCCUCAUAUAUUAAAUUCAUGUUAUUGUCAGAUAGAAUACUGAGGAUCUCUGAAGGAAAGAGCUUGUAAGUGUAAGAAGGAUUUUGAAUAUGGUUAGCAUUAAUUUUGGCUUUGUUUGACCAUUAGGAGGUUUUUAUUUAAAUAUUAUUACAUUUGACAGGAAUAUAUGACAUCUGUGAUGAUUUAGGAUUUUGGUAAGGAUUAAGAUAGAUUGAUUAAGGACAUGUAAGGACUUUAGAGAUUGCCACUUAUAGACAUGUUUUUCUAAAAUCAAUGAUUUUAGAUAGUCAAACAGUGAGACGCUUAGUGGCGUUUGAGAGAUAGGAGAAAGGAAUUACUGUUUAAAUGGGUAAAUAUAUAUAUUUAAUAACAUAUAUAAAUAGCACAGAUACUUCUUAAACUAGAUAAGACACUGGACAGAGAAUUGAUACAGGAUUGGGAUGAAUGGAUGCCCAAGGGAGAAUUGGACAUACAUGAUAAUGUCAGAAUAUAAGGAUAAUUUACUAAUCCUACCUAAGUCAUUAUUUAAGGUAGAUAAGGUUGUUACCUGGGCAGAGCCAGGUAUCAAAAGGGGGUAAGUAGUGGCCUAUUGGAUAAUAAACAGAUAAUAAAAUAAAAAUGUAGCUAACAAAUAGGCAUAGAAGUUAAAGAUAUAAUCAGAUAAAUCAUAUGAAAAACUGUUUGUUAACCAAGCCUGUAUGUCCAGGAUUUUAUGCAUUACAGGUGAACUACAGGUGAAGUCACUCAAUCCAGUCCCUGAGGCUUGUUGGGGAGACCAUACCAAGGACUCCUGGUGACAGCUAGCUGAAAGAGCUACCCGGAUUCAUGUCACACGGCGGGAGGGUAAGACACACUGACACUGUCGAACAAUAAACAGUGUUCGAGAGGAGAACUGGAAUUAACAGAAUUCCGGAGGCCAUCUCUCGAAUGAAGAAAAUCCUUUCUGUCAUUUCACCCCUGUUUUUGUUCAUAGAAGUGAAGGUGUGUCUGGCUCUUGCUAAUGAUGUGUUCUCGGGGAGAGGGUGGGGCUUCACAUGGGCGCUGUUCGUCUGAGCUGUCUUAUCGUGGGUGCCAUAUUCCUGAUACAGCACGUCCCACCUGAGUAUGCGGAGAGUGGUAAUCCUACCUGUCCUAUCACCCCUGUUUUUGUUCAUAGAAGUGAAGAUGUGUCUGGCUCUUGCUGUUCACGAAAGCAGGAAUGCCAGAUAAUGACAGUUGUAUUGAUUGCACUAUUUAUAUCCCCAGGUUCCCCUUAAAUCAAGACUUCCUCCCUUUACAGUGACCGGAGGAGAUUAUUACCGUUUGGUACAGUACUCUUGGGAAAUGAUGUCAGGGCGAGGUUUUACCGACAGAUUGGACAGGAUUAUGCUACUUUGUACAUUUGGGAAUGCCUUUCACACUCAUUCAACACCAAGACAUGAAGUUUAGCCAAAUGGGAAAAAGAGUUACUCCAUCCGGGUCUCUUGAUGACAAAGUAUACAUUGAUAACAUUGGGGUUCCACGGGGGUGCUAGAUGAGUUCAAAGCAAGAAAUCAGAUCCUAGCAGGAUUAGAGUUAAGUAUUUCCGGGUGGUCUACUCUCAAUAAGAACGUGGACUGGAUUAAUUAUAUUUAUGAUAAUCAACAGAGCUUUAACAAGUAUACCAGAGAUGCUAUUAAAGGUUUUGCAGAACAGACUGAAGCAACCAGCCUGAUGGCUUGGCAGAAUAUAAUUGCAUUAGAUAUGUUAUUGGCUGAAAAGGGAGAAGUAUGCGUGAUUAUUGAGCUCCGGACGAAUCAGUGCCCAAAGCCUCAGCUGGUUUGACCACCCUGGCUCACGGGUUGGCAGAAAACUCUGGGGUGGAUACUUCUCUGACUAAUUGGGUUUGAUAGUAUGUUCGAAAAAAAAUAAUAUUAUGAUCACUGUAUUAUGGGCUACAUUCACCUGUGUGAAUUUAGUUUUAUGGGGCUGUUGUCUAAUUCCCUGUGUAUGAGGCCUUAUUUCCAGGACUCUGGAGAAAUCGAUGACAAUAGAUGGUGAGGUACCAGGGGAUUCCAGGUUCUGACCCGCGGAGUGCUGAUUGUCUACAGGACAAGUGGAUGAAUCUGGAUCCUUCAGUUGCGGGGAAUUUAUGUUUGAAGAGACCAUUUUUGAUGUUUAGGGAGGCUAGGUUGUAUCCCGUUUCAAUAAUAGACUGUUUUUUUAUGAUUGUAACGAAUAUCCUGAUAAGAAGAGUUAUGAUUCUGAUGUAGGCCUGAGAAACAAUUAUGGCGAAUGCAAGUGUUGGGUUAUGUUUAGGUGAUGUUUUGAUGACAAGAACUAUCUCUAAUAAAAAUAGAAAUGGGCUUUUUAAUAUUACAAUAUAACUACAAUGUGUGAUUGGAUGUAUAAUAUUUAAUCAAAGGGUGGAUAUGUUAAGGGAAUUUUUAUCAAUGAUGACUAAUUAUGUAUACAUUUCAAUCAGGACUGACUAAUCAGAAUACUAUUAUGUUACGGUAUAUGUGCUAAUCAGAAUACUAUUAUGUUACUGUACAUGUAUGAAUUUUCUCUCUUGCUCCCAGUAUUGAAUAUAAUGUAGUCAAGAGUUUAGAACAAUGACGGUCUGUUCAUUGGAACAAAUGAAUGAACUAUCUCCAGACUGUCUAGAAUGCUUAUCUACACUGACUGACCUUGGCUCUAGGUGAGGAGGGAAGGCUUGAGAUCUAUAGAGCCUUUCUACCAGUGUCAAGAAGAGACGGAACAUUUAGAAAACGCUGACGUCAUUUUCAGUUUAUAACUUGUGGUAAAAUGUGUAUGUACUCAGUACUCUCUUGAAUAAAGGCUGUUACUUGACUUUAA